This is a long non-coding RNA of Ictalurus punctatus (channel catfish), 1895 nucleotides long. The record is from Ensembl. NCBI's taxonomy places the organism in Eukaryota, Metazoa, Chordata, Actinopteri, Siluriformes, Ictaluridae.
CUCACGCCCCAGUCUGCCGGCACGCCCAGCCAAGUUCCGCUCACGCCCCAGUCUGCCGGCACGCCCAGCCAAGUUCCGCUCACGCCCCAGUCUGCCGGCACGCCCAGCCAAGUUCCGCUCACGCCCAAGCUUCGCCUGGUGACCUCAGAGCCUCCCUGUCCAGUUGAGGUCGUCGCUCAGCCCCCCGUCCAGCUGAGGUCGUCGCUCAGCCUUCCUGCUCCAUGGCAAACAUCGUUCCCACCUUCUGCUUUGAGGAGACCCACGCUCCUCUCCCUGGCCGCACGGAGACCCACGCUCCUCUCCCUGGCCUUACAGGGGACUUCACUCUGCCUUCCAGUUCAGCUGGGGACGUCGCUCCGCUUUCAUGCUUCAACGAGGACGUCACCCUGCUUCCCUGGUCCGCCGAGUACAGUGCUCUGUUUCCCUGCUCCGCCGAGGACGUCGCUCUGCCUUCAUGCUCCGACGAGGACGUCGCCCCCGCUUCCCUGCUCCGCCGAGUACAGUGCUCUGUUUCCCUGCUCCGCCGAGGACGUCGCUCUGCCUUCAUGCUCCGACGAGGACGUUGCUCUGCCCUCAUGCUCCGCCGAGGUCGUCUCUCAGCCUGUCUGCCCAGCCGAGGUCGUCUCUCAGCCUGUCUGCCCAGCCGAGGUCGUCGCUCUGCCUGUCUGCCCAGCCGAGGACGUCGCUCAGCCUGUCUGCCCAGCCGAGGACGUCGCUCAGCCUGUCUGCCCAGCCGAGGACGUCGCUCAGCCUGUCUGCCCAGCCGAGGACGUCGCUCAGCCUCCCUGCCCAGCCGAGGACGUCGCUCAGCCUCCCUGCCCAGCCGAGGACGUCGCUCAGCCUCCCUGCCCAGCCGAGGACGUCGCUCCGCUUCCCUGCGCAGCCGAGGACGUCGCUCCGCUUCCCUGCGCCGCCAAGAACACCGUGCAGUUUUCUGGCUCUGCUUGGGACAUUCAGCCCAGGGGGCCGGGGCUGCCAAUUAAAUGGGAUGACUCAUGGCACUCCUGGAGGGGUGCCUUUGGGGGGGGUUCUGUCAUGAUUCCCCCUUGAAGCAGCGUGCUCUAAGUGGGAAUGCGCGAGCACCUGCUUUUCCGUUGUUGACCGUAAUGACAUCUGGACACGUGUGUUUUGGACUGGAGAGGAGAGUAAAAUUAUCAGUGCAAUGUAGAGGCCUCAGGACCCAACAAAAAAAAGUCAGAAGAGUGGGCAUUUUUUGUUGUCAUGCAAGGAGGAGCAGGCAGUAAGAUAUAAAAUGUUUGGGACAAAGAAAGGCCAUGCUCAUUAAAGCCUAUUGGAUGCAUUGGGUUGCUUGCAUGCAGAUCACAUUCAUUCAUUCAUUCAUCUGCAGUAAACGCUUUAUGGCCAUACUCACUGGAGUUUAUAUUACCAAUUUGCUUAUAUUUUAGGAAAUAGAGCCAAGUAAGUUUUCCCGGUCCCUGCUUUUAAUCAGCAGAGACUGGGUAUCUGAUCAGCAUUGAGGACAAGAUGGAUGGAACCAAAUACAGGGCACAAUAGCUAGAAAACCUUAGACCUUUUUUAUUCUGAAAGAGAUUUCAAAGUUGGGCUUAGGUUUAUCUUAACAGGACAUUUAUCCUAUUGUAACCCAGCCAAGGUUAUACAAUUAUAGAAUUAUUCUGGAAAUUAUUUAAUUUGACAAGUAGGGCAAUUAUUAUGAUUACUUUAUUUUCCUUAUUGUAUUUUGGUUUAUUUCUAUUUUUUCGUUAUUAUGGUCUUGAUGCUGUUGAUUGAGAUUUGAGCCCAUAGGAAGGGAACAGGGAGCGGAAGUCUCCGUGUAAUAUUUCUUAUUUCCCUCAUAUAAAUGCAAAUCAAUUUAUAACAUUUUUGACAUGCGUUUUUCUGGAUUUUUUUGUUGUUAUUCUGUCUCUCACUGUUCA